RNAcentral lists this ribosomal RNA (471 nucleotides) under uncultured bacterium. RNAcentral's name for it is "bacterial SSU rRNA". It matches the Rfam family "Bacterial small subunit ribosomal RNA", at positions 76 to 543 of the family's 1533-position model. The record is from RNAcentral.
GGGGCAACCUGGGCGACGAGUGGCGAACGGGUGAGUAAUACAUCGGAACGUGCCCAGUAGUGGGGGAUAGCCCGGCGAAAGCCGGAUUAAUACCGCAUACGACCUACGGGUGAAAGCGGGGGACCGCAAGGCCUCGCGCUAUUGGAGCGGCCGAUGUCAGAUUAAGUAGUUGGUGGGGUAAAGGCCUACCAAGCCGACGAUCUGUAGCUGGUCUGAGAGGACGACCAGCCACACUGGGACUGAGACACGGCCCAGACUCCUACGGGAGGCAGCAGUGGGGAAUUUUGGACAAUGGGCGCAAGCCUGAUCCAGCCAUGCCGCGUGCGGGAAGAAGGCCUUCGGGUUGUAAACCGCUUUUGUCAGGGAAGAAACGCGCUGGGCUAAUACCCCGGCGUAAUGACGGUACCUGAAGAAUAAGCACCGGCUAACUACGUGCCAGCAGCCGCGGUAAUACGUAGGGUGCAAGCGUUA